This 328-nucleotide unclassified non-coding RNA is filed under the name plant metagenome. RNAcentral describes it as "partial contains 5.8S ribosomal RNA, internal transcribed spacer 2, and large subunit ribosomal RNA". The stretch from base 1 to 104 matches the Rfam family "5.8S ribosomal RNA", at positions 50 to 154 of the family's 154-position model. The record is from RNAcentral.
GAAAUGCGAUAAGUAAUGUGAAUUGUAGAAUUCCGUGAAUCAUCGAAUCUUUGAACGCACAUUGCGCCCUCUGGUAUUCCGGGGGCAUGCCUGUCCGAGCGUCAUUGCGAACCCCUCAAGCACGGCUUGUGUGAUGGGCCCUCCCGCGUCUUGGUCGUCAAGACGGGCCCGAAAUGCAGUGGCGGCUUCGCGGUUAUCCGAUCAGCCAGAGCGUAUGGGGACUUUCUCUCUGUCACACGCCCGCGGCGCGGACCGACGCCUGUCGACCUUUAUUCAUCUUUUUCUCGGUUGACCUCGGAUCAGGUAGGGAUACCCGCUGAACUUAAGC